This 241-nucleotide ribosomal RNA is filed under the name uncultured bacterium. Its description in RNAcentral is "partial 16S ribosomal RNA". It matches the Rfam family "Bacterial small subunit ribosomal RNA", at positions 678 to 916 of the family's 1533-position model. The record is from RNAcentral.
GCGGUGAAAUGCGUAGAUAUCGAGAGGAACACCUGCGGCGAAGGCGGGUUGCUGGGCUGACACUGACGCUGAGGCGCGAAAGCUAGGGGAGCGAACGGGAUUAGAUACCCCGGUAGUCCUAGCCUUAAACGAUGAAUGCUUGGUGUCUGGGGUUUUAUAGUCCCCGGGUGCCGUCGCUAACGCAUUAAGCAUUCCGCCUGGGGAGUACGGUCGCAAGGCUGAAACUCAAAUGAAUUGACGG